RNAcentral lists this ribosomal RNA (636 nucleotides) under uncultured bacterium. Its description in RNAcentral is "bacterial SSU rRNA". The stretch from base 1 to 542 matches the Rfam family "Bacterial small subunit ribosomal RNA", at positions 338 to 873 of the family's 1533-position model. The record is from RNAcentral.
CCUACGGGAGGCAGCAGUGGGGAAUUUUGGACAAUGGGCGCAAGCCUGAUCCAGCAAUGCCGCGUGAGUGAAGAAGGCCUUCGGGUUGUAAAGCUCUUUUGUCAGGGAAGAAACGGUGAAGGCUAAUAUCCUUUGCUAAUGACGGUACCUGAAGAAUAAGCACCGGCUAACUACGUGCCAGCAGCCGCGGUAAUACGUAGGGUGCAAGCGUUAAUCGGAAUUACUGGGCGUAAAGCGUGCGCAGGCGGUUUUGUAAGUUUGUCGUGAAAUCCCCGGGCUCAACCUGGGAAUGGCGAUGAAGACUGCAGGGCUAGAAUCUGGCAGAGGGGGGUAGAAUUCCACGUGUAGCAGUGAAAUGCGUAGAGAUGUGGAGGAACACCGAUGGCGAAGGCAGCCCCCUGGGUCAAGAUUGACGCUCAUGCACGAAAGCGUGGGGAGCAAACAGGAUUAGAUACCCUGGUAGUCCACGCCCUAAACGAUGUCUACUAGUUGUCGGGUUUUAAUUAACUUGGUAACGCAGCUAACGCGUGAAGUAGACCGCCUGGGGGAGGUACGGUCGCGAGAAGUUAAACGUACUUAAAUUAGUAAGUUAGUUAGGCGUUGAGACGUGCCGACGGACGACGACGAGGGAGGAGG